RNAcentral lists this ribosomal RNA (433 nucleotides) under uncultured bacterium. RNAcentral describes it as "partial 16S ribosomal RNA". It matches the Rfam family "Bacterial small subunit ribosomal RNA", at positions 29 to 507 of the family's 1533-position model. The record is from RNAcentral.
AACGAACGCUGGCGGCAUGCCUAACACAUGCAAGUCGAACGAGACCUUCGGGUCUAGUGGCGCACGGGUGCGUAACGCGUGGGAAUCUGCCCUUGGGUUCGGAAUAACUGUUGGAAACGACUGCUAAUACCGGAUGAUGACGUAAGUCCAAAGAUUUAUCGCCCAGGGAUGAGCCCGCGUAGGAUUAGCUAGUUGGUAGGGUAAAGGCCUACCAAGGCGACGAUCCUUAGCUGGUCUGAGAGGAUGAUCAGCCACACUGGGACUGAGACACGGCCCAGACUCCUACGGGAAGCAGCAGUGGGGAAUAUUGGACAAUGGGCGAAAGCCUGAUCCAGCAAUGCCGCGUGAGUUAUGAAGGCCUUAGGGUUGUAAAGCUCUUUUACCCGGGAUGAUAAUGACAGUACCGGGAGAAUAAGCCCCGGCUAACUCCGUG